GACGAACGCUGGCGGCGUGCUUAACACAUGCAAGUCGAACGGUAAGGCCCCAGCUUGCUGGGGUACACGAGUGGCGAACGGGUGAGUAACACGUGGGUGACCUGCCCCGCACUUCGGGAUAAGCCUGGGAAACUGGGUCUAAUACCGGAUAGGACCGCACCGUGAGGGUGUGGUGGAAAGUUUUUCGGUGUGGGAUGGGCCCGGGGCCUAUCAGCUUGUUGGUGGGGUAAUGGCCUACCAAGGCGGCGACGGGUAGCCGGCCUGAGAGGGUGGACGGCCACAUUGGGACUGAGCCACGGCCCAGACUCCUACGGGAGGCAGCAGUGGGGAAUAUUGCACAAUGGGCGGAAGCCUGAUGCAGCGACGCCGCGUGGGGGAUGACGGCCUUCGGGUUGUAAACUCCUUUCACCAUCGACGAAGGUUUUCUGACGGUAGAUGGAGAAGAAGCACCGGCUAACUACGUG
RNAcentral lists this ribosomal RNA (464 nucleotides) under uncultured bacterium. Its description in RNAcentral is "partial 16S ribosomal RNA". It matches the Rfam family "Bacterial small subunit ribosomal RNA", at positions 28 to 507 of the family's 1533-position model. The record is from RNAcentral.